UGGCUCAGCUGGUAGAGCAUGGCACUAGCAAUGCCAGGGUUGUGGGUUCGAUUCUCAC
This 58-nucleotide transfer RNA is filed under the name Salmo salar (Atlantic salmon). It matches the Rfam family "tRNA", at positions 8 to 63 of the family's 71-position model. Rfam says of the family: Transfer RNA (tRNA) molecules are approximately 80 nucleotides in length. Their secondary structure includes four short double-helical elements and three loops (D, anti-codon, and T loops). Lineage: Eukaryota; Metazoa; Chordata; Actinopteri; Salmoniformes; Salmonidae. The record is from Rfam by way of RNAcentral.